UACAGAGGGUGCAAGCGUUGCUCGGAAUCAUUGGGCGUAAAGGGUUGGUAGGUGGUCUCAUUUGUCCGGGGUGAAAUCCUUGAGCUUAACUCAAGAAGUGCCCUGGAAACGGUGAGACUGGAGUCUUGGAGAGGGUCGCGGAAUUCCCGGUGUAGCGGUGAAAUGCGUAGAGAUCGGGAGGAACACCAGAGGCGAAGGCGGCGACCUGGACAAGUACUGACACUGAACAACGAAAGCGUGGGGAGCAAACAGG
RNAcentral lists this ribosomal RNA (253 nucleotides) under uncultured bacterium. Its description in RNAcentral is "partial 16S ribosomal RNA". It matches the Rfam family "Bacterial small subunit ribosomal RNA", at positions 524 to 776 of the family's 1533-position model. The record is from RNAcentral.